AUUACCGGUUAGUAAUUGCCGAAUGCUUGUGAGUGAUCAGUCUGUGAACUGCAUAGGGUCUCCAAGCUAAAAAGAAAAGAAAAUUCUUAUUUUCAGAACUAAAGACUUAAACCUAACACCAAAAAGGGCACACUAAAAUUAUGGAUCACAAACAUCAUGAAAACAUGUCAAUGGAUAUGGUAAGAACUUUCAUCUUUUAAAAUAUAUUUUACUUAACUAAGCUUCUAUGAUCCGUUAAAAUAUAAAAAUAGACUUCAUAAAUUACCCUUAUGCGUGGGAUGACUACUAAAAAAGCGUAUGACAUUGAGAAAGUUACUGAAAGUUAUGUCAUAAAUAGAUGGAUUUUCUAUACGUGUACGAGAAUCGAUGCUUAAGAAUUAGUAAAUAAUUGAGUAGAACAGAACAUUGUUUGUGAGUUGCAAGUGGGAGGGAAAAUUGAAGAAUAGUAUACAUUUCCGAUAAAUUCCAAUUAUUUAGUCUUAGCUGCCUUUCAAUAAGUUUAACAGCUAGAUAAAUAUGAUAAUACUUACGUAACAAACAUAUUUUACAUUAUUUAUAGAUUUAAUACGUCGAUUAACCUAUAUAUGUAAAAUUAAGUUAGCUUCUCUUUUAGACAACAAGACCAAUGGAUCAUUCAAAGCAUGUAGUAGAACACGGAAUGAAGAUGUACUUUCAUGCGUCUACUAAAGCCGUUAUUUUAUUCGAAAAAUGGAACAUAGAUUCAUGGCAAGGGAUGCUGGGUUCUUGUGCUGUUAUAUUUAUUAUUGCAGCCUUAUAUGAAGGCUUGAAAGUUUUUAGAGAAAUGCUGCUACGUCGGUCAUCCGUAUCUGUUAGGUAUAAUACAAUGCCUGUUCCCUCUCAAGGCAACGGCGCUAACGAAACUUGCACUAUGCUAAGCGAAACUCAUAAAACUGUUGGUAUGAAGAUGAUUAGUCUACCACAUUUCAUUCAAUCACUGCUACAUAUCCUUCAAGUUGUUGUUAGCUACUUUUUGAUGCUUAUUUUCAUGACAUACAAUAUAUGGCUAUGCUUGGCUGUUGGGCUUGGAGCAGGUGCGGGGUAUUUUCUUUUCUCGUGGAAAAGAUCUAUCGUGGUGGAUGUGAAUGAACAUUGUCAUUAGCAUACCAAUAAUUUCCUUAAACAUGUCGGAAAAUGUGUUGCAUUUAUGAACACAAAAAUAAUAUUAAUAACAACGUAUAACAAAUAUCUAAAUUUUUAUAGAGGAAACGUUUGAACAAGUACCUUUUGCAGCACAUAAUUGUUGUUAGGGUAAAUUGAUUUAUAUAUAUAUAUAUAUAUAUAU
Molecule: unclassified non-coding RNA, 1303 nt
Filed under: Dimorphilus gyrociliatus
Lineage: Eukaryota; Metazoa; Annelida; Polychaeta; Dinophilidae
Description: copper transport protein
Source: RNAcentral